GACGAACGCUGGCGGCGUGCCUAAUACAUGCAAGUCGAGCGGACGAAUCGAAAGCUUGCUUUUGAUUCGUUAGCGGCGGACGGGUGAGUAACACGUGGGCAACCUGCCCUGUAGACGGGGAUAACACCGAGAAAUCGGUGCUAAUACCGGAUAACACGAAAUGUCGCAUGACGUUUCGUUGAAAGACGGCGCAAGCUGUCGCUACAGGAUGGGCCCGCGGCGCAUUAGCUAGUUGGUGAGGUAACGGCUCACCAAGGCGACGAUGCGUAGCCGACCUGAGAGGGUGAUCGGCCACACUGGGACUGAGACACGGCCCAGACUCCUACGGGAGGCAGCAGUAGGGAAUCUUCCGCAAUGGACGAAGGUCUGACGGAGCAACGCCGCGUGAGCGAAGAAGGUCUUCGGGUCGUAAAGCUCUGUUGUUAGGGAAGAACAAGUAACGCAGUAACUGGCGUUACCGUGACGGUACCUAACGAGAAAGCCACGGCUAACUACGUG
This 498-nucleotide ribosomal RNA is filed under the name uncultured bacterium. RNAcentral describes it as "partial 16S ribosomal RNA". It matches the Rfam family "Bacterial small subunit ribosomal RNA", at positions 28 to 507 of the family's 1533-position model. The record is from RNAcentral.